GAUGAAGAACGUAGCAAAAUGCGAUAAGUCAUGUGAAUUGCAGAAUUCAGUGAAUCAUCGAAUCUUUGAACGCACAUUGCGCCCGCUGGUAUUCCGGCGGGCAUGCCUGUUCGAGCGUCAUUUCAACCCUCAAGCCCCCGGGUUUGGUGUUGGGGAUCGGCUCUGCCCUUCUGGGCGGUGCCGCCCCCGAAAUACAUUGGCGGUCUCGCUGCAGCCUCCAUUGCGUAGUAGCUAACACCUCGCAACUGGAACGCGGCGCGGCCAUGCCGUAAAACCCCAACUUCUGAAUGUUGACCUCGGAUCAGGUAGGAAUACCCGCUGAACUUAAGCAUAUCAAUAAGCGGAGGA
Molecule: unclassified non-coding RNA, 348 nt
Filed under: soil metagenome
Description: partial contains 5.8S ribosomal RNA, internal transcribed spacer 2, and large subunit ribosomal RNA
Rfam family: 5.8S ribosomal RNA (bases 1-120)
Source: RNAcentral